CCAUCAUACAUGUGCAUAUUAUAAACCGGUAGAUGCAUUUAAUUCCUGGUUCUACUGAUAAUGUAGGCAAUAACUAAUAAUACAUAUUUUACGCUAAACAUAUUUGUAAGUACUGUUGUUGUUAUUUUUGUCGAAUUGGUUAUAGCGAAUUUAAUAUUGUGUCUGUUACAGAACGAGGGUCUAUAAUUAGUCACCGUGAAAUUCAUUAGUAACAAGAGCCUAGGGAAACCAAAACAAAUGUGGAAGAACUAGGAGGAGGAUCAGAUUGGAAGGCGCGAGUAUCGGAUCGAGAUGGACGGGCUGAAUGUAUGACGGGAUAGUCCUAGAGGUCAUUUUUUAACCCAAAAAAGAAGAACAAGAAGUUACGUCCUUUUACUUGUUACUUUUAGAACUUUAGCGGCCAAGAGCCCCUUUUGGUCCCUAAAUCAAAAUUAGCUCGACCUUAAGGAUUUUAAUUAUUGCUUUGUUGGCGGAUCGAGUUGAUACAAGUUCAAGUUCAAUAUAAAUUCCAUCAUGUCGACGCAAGUGGCGGGUGUUUUUUUUAGCUUUGAACACUCCUACAGAUUCCUCAAAUGAAGCUAGGGCGGUGAGAUUGUUUAUGUUCACGAUGCAAGCGUUAAAGAUAUUAUGCCGUUUGUGUGUUCAAACUUUCAGUUCGUUUUACCAUUUUCACGCUCAAAUUGUAUCCGUUCUUCGAAAGAAUUAUAAUAAUAUGGUUUUAGUAUAUUACAGUAUUGUUUAGCUGUAAAGAAUAUUUCUAUGACAUGAACAGUUAACUCUAUAGCAGUGACGAAACUCUCGUUCUCUAUGAAUGUAUUAUUUUAGUCCCGCCAUCAAAACUAAAGCCGUUUAAAAUCGGUAUAAGUGCGUAUACGAAUUUCAUUGCACGGAUUAUAAUGUUCAUAAUUAAUUUUAAUAAUCAUUGCCAUUAAGUUUAUUCGUAGAGUUUGUGUAUAGUAUUUGAAUUUUCCAUAAAAUCGCAAUAAAUAACGGGAUUCAUAUCCGGUUCCGCUUCCGAAUUCUCUAACCUCAUUGAAUGUUUCGAAAACCGUAGCAAUUUGUUUGUUGCCG
Molecule: non-coding RNA, 1071 nt
Organism: Cinara cedri
Lineage: Eukaryota; Metazoa; Arthropoda; Insecta; Hemiptera; Aphididae
Source: the annotation of a GenBank genome assembly